UCGUCGGCAUUUCGAUUUAACCACUCCCUAGUGUAAGUUUUCAAAAUUUCGCUGGUGUAAACGGCUUUCCGUACCUUUUUAGAGAGAAAAUGGCCGACGAUUAAUGACAUUAGUUACUUUUUCUUGACAUUUGUUUGAUCGCCGUCUUACAAGGUUCUGUGCUUACAAGGCGACGGCUUAUUAAUUAAGGGGCUCUUUUAUGUGGGUUAGAGGUUAGGGUACGCAUUUUCAGUGCACAUACACCGACAUUAUCAAACUGUGGAAUCGAAAGUGCAGUAUAAAUCUGCACUGCCACAAUUGAUGGUGUAAGCAGUUAACAGUUUACCAUCUCGUUAACAAAAGGUGGACAUCAAUAAAAUGGGCAAGUACGACUCAAAGGAUGGUGCACGAAGAAUGACCACAUGACUGGCAGUUCGUAUUAAUAUUUCCAUCAGUCUUAUUUGUGCUGCCAUGGACGAUACUGACUUAUGGCUUGGUUCUUCUGAAUCACAGAACUCUGGUGCUUGUACUAAUAAUGCAUCAUUAGAAGAUUUACACAUUUUAAUGAAAUGUUACCAGAACUGUUAUAAUUUAUAAGAAACUACAUGAAGUAUUUAAAGAGAUAAAGCGUGAAGCAAAAGCAAGUGAUGUAAAGAAGCAGAUCAAUUCAC
This is a long non-coding RNA of Zophobas morio, 650 nucleotides long. RefSeq lists it as uncharacterized. The transcript is spliced from 3 exons. Lineage: Eukaryota; Metazoa; Arthropoda; Insecta; Coleoptera; Tenebrionidae. The record is from RefSeq and is a predicted model, not a curated record.